GACGAACGCUGGCGGCGUGCUUAACACAUGCAAGUCGAACGGAAAGGCCCUGCCUUUGUGGGGUGCUCGAGUGGCGAACGGGUGAGUAACACGUGAGUAACCUGCCCUUGACUUUGGGAUAACGUCAGGAAACUGGGGCUAAUACCGGAUAGGAGAUCCUGCUGCAUGGUGGGGGUUGGAAAGUUUCGGCGGUGGGGGAUGGACUCGCGGCUUAUCAGCUUGUUGGUGGGGUAGUGGCUUACCAAGGCUUUGACGGGUAGCCGGCCUGAGAGGGGGACCGGCCACAUUGGGACUGAGAUACGGCCCAGACUCCUACGGGAGGCAGCAGUGGGGACUAUUGCACAAUGGGCGGAAGCCUGAUGCAGCAACGCCGCGUGCGGGAUGACGGCCUUCGGGUUGUAAACCGCUUUCGCCUGUGACGAAGCGUGAGUGACGGUAAUGGGUAAAGAAGCACCGGCUAACUACGUG
This 468-nucleotide ribosomal RNA is filed under the name uncultured bacterium. Its description in RNAcentral is "partial 16S ribosomal RNA". It matches the Rfam family "Bacterial small subunit ribosomal RNA", at positions 28 to 507 of the family's 1533-position model. The record is from RNAcentral.